RNAcentral lists this unclassified non-coding RNA (402 nucleotides) under soil metagenome. RNAcentral's name for it is "partial contains 5.8S ribosomal RNA, internal transcribed spacer 2, and large subunit ribosomal RNA". The stretch from base 1 to 121 matches the Rfam family "5.8S ribosomal RNA", at positions 35 to 154 of the family's 154-position model. The record is from RNAcentral.
GAUGAAGAACGUAGCGAAAUGCGAUAAGUAAUGUGAAUUGCAGAAUUCAGUGAAUCAUCGAAUCUUUGAACGCACCUUGCGCCCUUUGGCUAUUCCGAAGGGCAUGCCUGUUUGAGUAUCAUGAACACCUCAACUCUCAUGGUUUGCCAUGAUGAGCUUGGACUCUGGGGGUCUUGCUGGCCUAUGGUCAGCUCCACUCAAAUAAAUCAGCUUGCCAGUGUUUGGUGGCAUCACAGGUGUGAUAACUAUCUACGCUUGUGGUUUUCCAUCAGGUAACCUUCAGUGAUGGAGGUUCGCUGGAGCUCAUAAAUGUCCCUCCUCAGCGAGGACAGCUUUUUGAACGUUUGAUCUCAAAUCAGGUAGGACUACCCGCUGAACUUAAGCAUAUCAAUAAGCGGAGGA